UUUUUAUUAUUGAUGUUGGUUAAGACUUAAGAUUCAUUUUAAUUUCAAUUGAACCUAACCAAACUCAAUCAAUUUUUUUCGGUGUUUUAAUGCUAGAACUAGGAUAAGAUAUGCGUCUUGCGCAAGGUGAGUUUAUUUGUAUAUAUUAUCGAUAAUGUUUUUUAUAUAUUUGAUCAUUUUAUUUAUACAUAUAUAAUGUUAUUUGUUAUAUAACUACCAACUUAUUUUUCUAAGGAUUUUGAAAUUGAUUCUCGUGAUGACACGUGUCAUGGUUCAAAUGUUGUAAUGUUUCUUUUUUAAUAUAUAGGGGAUAUUAAUAAUACAAUGCAUUGGCCACAAAGACUUAACCAACAUAUUUUUAUGGACCUGCCUCACACAAUUAUUAAUAUUUCCAUCGGCAGCUUUCCCUUGAAAAAAAAUGAUAAAAAAAAAAAAUUUGUUUAACAUAAAUACCAAAACUGGUAAUGAUUGAUUUAACAUAUCCCUAUAUUAAUUUGUGAUAUGAACUGGUUAAAUUUUAAAGCAGUACUUUUUGAAACACAUGAAACUCAAAAGUAAUCUGCCUUUUUUAUAUACUUCACUUACAGUAAUAAUUACAUGAUUUUACAACAAAAAUUCUCUAGAACAAAUUGAAGAAGGACCUCCCAACCAUUCAUGCAAAUAGAUAUAGUUAUG
Molecule: long non-coding RNA, 675 nt
Filed under: Brassica rapa (field mustard)
Lineage: Eukaryota; Viridiplantae; Streptophyta; Magnoliopsida; Brassicales; Brassicaceae
Description: long non-coding RNA (BRAP_LNC008526)
Source: RNAcentral